This 549-nucleotide ribosomal RNA is filed under the name uncultured Glomeromycotina. RNAcentral describes it as "SSU rRNA". It matches the Rfam family "Eukaryotic small subunit ribosomal RNA", at positions 548 to 1098 of the family's 1831-position model. Lineage: Eukaryota; Fungi; Glomeromycota. The record is from RNAcentral.
UUGGAGGGCAAGUCUGGUGCCAGCAGCCGCGGUAAUUCCAGCUCCAAUAGCGUAUAUUAAAGUUGUUGCAGUUAAAAAGCUCGUAGUUGAAUUUCGAGAUCAACAUGUCGGUCGUGCCUCCGGUACGUACUGGCAUCGUUGAUUUCUACCUUCUGACAAACCAUGAUGUCAUUAAUUUGGUGUCAUGGGGAAUCAGGACUGUUACUUUGAAAAAAUUAGAGUGUUUAAAGCAGGCACACGCUUGAAUACAUUAGCAUGGAAUAAUGAAAUAGGACGUUUGACCCUAUUUUGUUGGUUUCUAGGAUCGACGUAAUGAUUAAUAGGGAUAGUUGGGGGCAUUAGUAUUCAAUUGUCAGAGGUGAAAUUCUUGGAUUUAUUGAAGACUAACUACUGCGAAAGCAUUUGCCAAGGAUGUUUUCAUUAAUCAAGAACGAAAGUUAGGGGAUCGAAGACGAUCAGAUACCGUCGUAGUCUUAACCAUAAACUAUGCCGACUAGGGAUCGGAUGAUGUUAAUUUUUUAAUGACUCAUUUGGCGCCUUACGGGAAAC